GAUGAACGCUGGCGGCGUGCCUAAUACAUGCAAGUCGAGCGAACGGACGAGAAGCUUGCUUUUCUGAUGUUAGCGGCGGACGGGUGAGUAACACGUGGAUAACCUACCUAUAAGACUGGGAUAACUUCGGGAAACCGGAGCUAAUACCGGAUAAUAUUUUGAACCGCAUGGUUCAAAAGUGAAAGACGGUCUUGCUGUCACUUAUAGAUGGAUCCGCGCUGCAUUAGCUAGUUGGUAAGGUAACGGCUUACCAAGGCAACGAUGCAUAGCCGACCUGAGAGGGUGAUCGGCCACACUGGAGCUGAGACACGGUCCAGACUCCUACGGGAGGCAGCAGUAGGGAAUCUUCCGCAAUGGGCGAAAGCCUGACGGAGCAACGCCGCGUGAGUGAUGAAGGUCUUCGGAUCGUAAAACUCUGUUAUUAGGGAAGAACAUAUGUGUAAGUAACCGUGCACAUCUUGACGGUACCUAAUCAGAAAGCCACGGCUAACUACGUG
RNAcentral lists this ribosomal RNA (497 nucleotides) under uncultured bacterium. RNAcentral describes it as "partial 16S ribosomal RNA". It matches the Rfam family "Bacterial small subunit ribosomal RNA", at positions 28 to 507 of the family's 1533-position model. The record is from RNAcentral.